RNAcentral lists this ribosomal RNA (33 nucleotides) under Acremonium acutatum. RNAcentral's name for it is "partial 28S ribosomal RNA". The record is from RNAcentral. Lineage: Eukaryota; Fungi; Ascomycota; Sordariomycetes; Hypocreales; Bionectriaceae.
AGGUGACCUCAGUCAGGUAGGAAUACCCGUGAA